UACGGAGGGUGCUAGCGUUGUUCGGAAUCACUGGGCGUAAAGGGCGUGUAGGCGGUCUGUUAAGUCUGAUGUGAAAUCCCCUCGCUCAACGAGGGAACUGCGUCGGAUACUGGCAGACUUGAGUACCGGAGAGGAAGGCGGAAUUCCUGGUGUAGCGGUGAAAUGCGCAGAUAUCAGGAGGAACACCGGUGGCGAAGGCGGUUCUCUGGGCCUUACCUGACGCUGAGGAGCGAAAGCGUGGGGAGCAAACAGG
This 253-nucleotide ribosomal RNA is filed under the name uncultured bacterium. RNAcentral describes it as "partial 16S ribosomal RNA". It matches the Rfam family "Bacterial small subunit ribosomal RNA", at positions 524 to 776 of the family's 1533-position model. The record is from RNAcentral.